This is a non-coding RNA of Schistosoma haematobium, 46 nucleotides long. NCBI's taxonomy places the organism in Eukaryota, Metazoa, Platyhelminthes, Trematoda, Strigeidida, Schistosomatidae. The record is from Rfam.
AUUCAGCUGACGAGUCCGAAAAUGGGACGAAACGCACUUCCUGGAU